GCGAACGCUGGCGGCAGGCUUAACACAUGCAAGUCGAGCGGGCCCUUCGGGGUCAGCGGCGGACGGGUGAGUAACGCGUGGGAACGUGCCUUCUGGUCUGGAAUAACCCUGGGAAACUAGGGCUAAUACCGGAUACGCCCUUUUGGGGAAAGGUUUACUGCCGGAAGAUCGGCCCGCGUCUGAUUAGCUAGUUGGUGGGGUAACGGCCUACCAAGGCGACGAUCAGUAGCUGGUCUGAGAGGAUGAUCAGCCACACUGGGACUGAGACACGGCCCAGACUCCUACGGGAGGCAGCAGUGGGGAAUAUUGGACAAUGGGCGCAAGCCUGAUCCAGCCAUGCCGCGUGAGUGAUGAAGGCCUUAGGGUUGUAAAGCUCUUUUAUCCGGGACGAUAAUGACGGUACCGGAGGAAUAAGCCCCGGCUAACUUCGUG
Molecule: ribosomal RNA, 432 nt
Filed under: uncultured bacterium
Lineage: Bacteria
Description: partial 16S ribosomal RNA
Rfam family: Bacterial small subunit ribosomal RNA
Source: RNAcentral